Molecule: non-coding RNA, 9553 nt
Organism: Paramormyrops kingsleyae
Lineage: Eukaryota; Metazoa; Chordata; Actinopteri; Osteoglossiformes; Mormyridae
Source: RefSeq, a predicted model, not a curated record
GUGACGCGCUGUGGAAAAAUCGUUUAGGGAAGGGAGAGAGGCACUCGGGACGGGGGGGAUAGUAAUCGGUGAUAAGCAAUAGAGUUAUUAUUCGGGACUGCGAAUAGUGGGAAUCGGUGUGAUGAGUCAGAAUUGGGGUGAUAGACCAGGUUCUUAAAAAGCCGUCGCCUGAUCCACAGUGGUCUCCAGUGAACCUGUUUAUACAUAUGGAGAAGUCCAAUGCAUCAUGGGAAGUCCAACGCAUGACAGGAAGCUCCCCUCCUUUGUACCUGGACCUGGAUUGGCAAGUGAGGAGCCAGAGCACAGAGACAAACAGGGCAGAUCAGGUUCCUGGCAGAGUCGUUCCUAGUUUGGCAUUUUUUUUUUCAAAUUACGUCACACUUCAGCAGACGGAUGACCCAGGAAAUGGAGCAGAUGUCUAAGGCAGCUUCAGAGUUCAAAGGUCAAAACACCUGUUUGAAGUCCUGUGCAUUGCAGUAUGUCUUCUGGGAAACUCUCACGAUCUUUAUCUUCCAUUCAGAAAUCGGAAAGUGCAAACAUCUUUCUUACUUUUGUAACUCGUAUAUGAAUUGGAUCAUUAGAAAAUGUGGUGGAUUUCAAACUGGUCCUGAGGUAUCUGCAAUUUUUACCCGUUUUUGUUAAAACCAGUUUCUGUUGUGAAGUUUUGAUCAGUGUCCUGUACUGCAAUGGAUAGGUUCCAGGCUGCAUGUAACCUGGCACUGGGUAAAUUGGGUGGAAAAUGGGACUACGCCCAUGUGAAAUUUUGUUUGCACUGAAGGUGUAGCCCCUCUGUGGUUCGGGUUCGAGUCCCACUACCACGGCUUUAUCUUCACUUUUAUUAGUUAGUCCAGUACAGAAAAUUGUGGUUUAGAAGAGUUUGUGUCCAAUGUGAGCUGGACUGACAUUCCUGCGAUGGUGGCCCGCACCUAAGGCCACGUUUUUUCAGAUUAGACUUGUACAUGACAUUGUGUCUUUUAAAAUGGAACCUGUUACUUUGGCUUGUUUUGCUUGUCGUCCUUGAACAAUAGUAAAAAAAAAUCUCUUCAUCUAAGAUGAUUAAAUACCAAUGCGUACCUUCAUCUUCCAACCAGUUAUCCAGUAUAUUGCCACAGGAAUCAAUUAAUCUGCUUAGUGAAAUAAUUUAUGGUCGUAAUUUGCAUUGCAUAGUUAAUGGUAUAAACAUGUCUCAAGAAUUUCAAGAUAAAAUCAUGGUGAGAAUUUAAUCAGCAGAAGUAAUUAGCAGAAUUUAAUCAAGAGCAUGAUAAUAAUUAAAAUUGAUUAAUCAAUUAAUUAAGAGUUCAAUGUAGAAAAUAAUAAUAGCAUAUAGAUAUAGCAUGUAGAUAUGUGACAGUUACUAGCAUGCACUGCAAAUAAUCACAGUAAUGUUUAUAAGGACUGAUAAGUAUUGAUUAUUUACAGUUAGGAUAUUUGUAAAAUCAUGUGGGUUUUUAUAUGACAAUUUAAACAAUAUUUUGUCAUCUCGGAAUAUGGCAAAAAUGUAAUGAAAACAUGCUUACAGCAAAUGAUGCAUUUUUGUUGUUGUAGUUGCUGCUGUUGUUGUUGUUGCCGCUGCUGCUGUUUGUGCGAGUGUUUUCAGUGUACGAGUCUCAGCCAGUUUCGGGCAGCUUGUACAGGAACCCUACUGAGGAGAAGACAUACACCUGCAAAGAUAGUAAGCUAACAGACCAGCCACGCUAACAGUCUGCUUCUGGAAGCUGGUUUCAGAUGGUGGCUUAGAGUGUCUAUAAUAUGAAUCUAGCACCAUUUGAAAUCAGUGUUCUUGGGGUGGAAAUGACACCUUUGCCUGCUCAGGGAGAAUGCGUAAUUAAAGGCCAGCGCUUGUAUUUACAUUUGUGUCCAGGUUCCACUUUUUAGUAAAACCCAUUUAGCGUAAAAUCCCACAGCAUAGCUUUUGUUUGUGGGAUGGAAACGACGGGAUUUUUAAAAUGAACCAAUUCGCAAAAAGAACCUCAGAUGUUAUGCGUUUGUUUUAUUUUAUACUUAGAAUUUUAGAAAGUAUACUUUUUACUUGUGUUGCGGUGAUACAGGAAGUAGCCUGGUAAGUCACACGUCAGCAGAAGGGCGGCCCGUGCGAUCUCUCAUCAGGGCUGACUGAUUUCUUCUGGUGUUCAGAGUCAUUGUAGCUUUCUAGCACCAUUUGAAAUCGGUUACAAUGUAGGAGGGAAAUCGGCACGGAGAACGUGGAAAGACAGCGGAGGAGGGAAGACUGGAGGCGAAGGGAGAUCCCCAGUCCAGCCCGCCUCUGCACGAGGGUCUGUGGUCCAAGAUGAUUCAAUCGAUAACCGUCAAUGCAUGCAAAGCUUGUGAAAAUGUUUUUCUUCAGUAGGUUUUGGUCUGUAACGCACUUUUUUUUUUUUGUGGCUCUGGGUGCAAUGAACAAAGGAUGCAGUCAUCGAAGGUCAGUUCUAAAACCAAAAAUAAGUCAAAACUAAACAGAAGCCUGACUGGUUCCGCAGCAGGUCACGGAGCAUGUGCUCGGCCUGCUACAGCCUGCCCCCUGGUGCUGGGAACCUGUUCCGUUCCCCCCAAGGACUCUGCGGACGCGACCCCGUCGUCUGGCUAUUGCGAGCCACGGCUUCUUACGAUCGUGGAAUUUUCCGCGAGGCCUAAAUUGUGCUUUUUUUGGUCUUUGAUUUAAAACGCGCUGAGGCGUGAUGCUUCCUGUGGCGACUGACUCGGGCGGAUAGGAUGUUGCACGGACUCCGUCCUCGAUUACAGGAAGUGGCAAUCUGGUCAUCUGCGGUUGGUAUCCCGAGGUAAGAGUAGUCAAAGUUAAAGGUGAGGUGUCAUACUAAAAGGUAAAGCAGUGGUAGGUAAAUAUGUCUGGCAAAAAAAAAACUUUUUGACCAGUGUCUGUUUUUCUACCCCAAAAAAGACCUGCAGACGCUGUGUGUCUGCGCGUAUUGUGGGCUCAGCUUUCUCGCCAUGUCCUGUCACUGUUCCGGAACCCAGGCGAGACUUCGCUAGACGCGCAGGUUUCAUUUGGGGAAAACAGCAGAAUGUUCCGACCUUCUGAACUCGCCUUACGUCAUCACUUGGCACGGAUUCUGCUGGCCGUAAAUCCCGGAGCAGUGGCGGCAUGAAAGACAGGUUCCUCUCGUCUGUGUUCUUAAAGCACGAAAGCUGCUUCAUCUCUGUUUAUAACAGAGACUCCAGUUUAGAGGUAUCUUCACACAGCUUCAGUUCUAAAUAUCUUCAUUGCAGUAAUUAUUUGGAACGUCAGUUGCCUCACCUGGACUUACAGGCACUAAUUAAAACAAAUUGCAAAACCAGUGGGACUCCAGUCCUCCGGAGUCAGAUUGGCACCCCAGCUGUGAACAGACAGGCACCCUGUGCAUAUUCAGCACAUGCCAGCCCUGGUUUGCUUCCGGCCACUCCGAGGAACAUCACGGAUAAACAGAGAACUCCUGCACUCUAUUCGUCGGGACAAAGAGGAAUUUAGAUCCAGAAGGAAUCGCGAGCUAGGAAACGAGGAAUGCCGUAUCAUGUAUUUACUUGCAGGCUUUGUAAAGAGAGGCACCGGUGUGAUCCAGUUGAAAAUGCAGUCUUUGGCACAGGAGAGCCAAUACACGAUACAGAGACAUCAACGGGUGUGCUGCGUAUCUAACUGUUUGAAAUAAAUAUUUUAUAUAAUGUAAUAUUGUUUUUGUACCACUAGGUGGCACUUCACUGCUGUAAUGUAGUAAUACAAUUUGAAGGCAAGAGUGUCUGAAAUAUCUCUUUCGUGUUAAACGCUAAUAUAAUCAGGGUUACAUUGACCCAAAGCCUGCCCUGCAAAGCUGUGACAUGGUACAAACCCAAAAAUAUUAAGUUACCUAAAAUAUUUACUACAACCCUUCAGUGCCUUGGCUUUUGCAGUACGGCAGUGAUAUAAUAUAGAAUGCAGUUAAUUGAGGGAUUCAUUUCACGUGAGCAUAAUAUAAAGCAUUUUGAAGGCAUAAGUGAAACAUAAGGGGCUGUUAUGAAUUAAGGUGCGCGCACAUGAUGGCACCGUGCUACGUAAAUACCGAAGCGUGUAGCAAGUAUUGCAGCUCAGCCAGCAGAGGGCAGCAGAGGGAAGCUUUGUUAUUCCAUGAUGGUGAACAGUGACGGCGGUUUUGGCUAGUUCAGACAUUUUUGUUCAUUAUAGUUAAUUUCUGACUAGAAAUAUAAUUCAGUACAGGUUCAUUGCUUACCGCUAAAUACUGUUGCUAUUAUCGCUAUCAGAUGAAAGUGUGGGGUUUGUUUUGGGUGAAGUUUGUCUUCUGAAAGGAUGUUUCAGGGUGUUUGAUAGUUUUCUUCUAGUUCAGUCAAAUGUAAUAGUUUCCCCUGUUAGCUGUCUGACUUAUUGUGGCAAGUUUUCUCUGAGCUAAGUCAACUUGUGGCUAAUGAUUGAUUGGUUGUGUAAUACUGGCUUUCCCAGGGGUGACUCACAGAAGGAGGACCCUGUAGUCACAGCGAUGGUACAGAUACACACGGUUCUGCUGUUAUGUGACUUUACACAACAUGAAUUGGCUCAUCUAUGAUUGAUAAAUACGGGAAACUUAUGAGUUAAAAACACAAAUAUGUUGGCUUGUGUGUAAUUUCUUCACCAGUUUAUGGUUUGAAUGGAACAGUAACAGACCUGAACAAUUUUGCCCGUGAAGGAUUUUCACUAAUUUAUUUCACUAAUUAUCAGUGAAAUUUCAGACAUAAAAAACAGGAAGCUUGAAGGCACUUGUUAAAAAGCUUGAUCUUAUAAAGAACUUUGAGGAGAUUAGGUAAUACUUUGGUUAGAUAUUUGGUAAUUUUAUUGCAGGAUUUUGAGUAACAAAAAGUUGUACAGGAAUGUAUCUACUGCAUUAUUGCAGAAACAUGUUUGCUAUGUGGGUGUUGGUUUGAGUCCCCAGGAUUUUGGCUGAUCCACGGCACGUUUGCCAGUAAACCCCAUUUCCAAUGAGCCACUGAGGGUACCCUAAUAGAUAGCUUGUUGCUCACUUCCUUAUCAGUAUGGAGUGGAUUCUGCCUACUGAGCAAUGAGGUCAGUUAAUAAGGCACGGAAAAAAUGAAACAGUAUGUUUUUCAGUGGAACCAUAGAACUCAACCACUUACUGAUCAUGGGGAAGCAUUAUGUAAGCAUUACGUAAUCGUCUUUUCUGUACUGGGAAGUGGGUGCGGUCCUGUGUUGCCAUGGCAAGAAAUGACAUUCAUUGGCCUUGGCUCCUCAGUGGGUGGGCAUUGGGAGAGACCUGGAGGGACGGAAGGGGAAAGAUCCAGAGGAAUGUACUGGCAUUGGAAGCAGUGUGGGAUUUUGUUUGAGGGGCUGUACAUAUAUAAUCAUUAUAUUUGUCUUCUGCUCUCAUAGGGCUUCUCCCAUUUAAUGUCACAUUCUUUGUUUAAUAAAACCUUUCUGGUUGUUUAAUCUCCACUGUCUAGCUCCUUUGUCCUGCCCUGAGAAUGCCCUCCUGCCAAGGACCUGCUGUGUUUGGAUAAAUAUACAGAUUUUCAGGGCAUUGCUAAUGAGUGACAUGUAGAGACUGGAAGGCUGACACUGGGAUAUCACAAAGUGUUUGUUUACGUUAAGGCACAACAGACACAGGUCAGUGAUCUCCUCAAACAUAAAUAAAAGCACAGGUGGUUAAAUUAAAACCUGAUAGUGCUACAUUGAUUUUUGUUAAGUAAAUUAAGAGUCUCAGGUCUCAUCUAGCUCUUAGGAACAGAACAAUUCUGACGUUAUCGCUUUAAUCAGUUUACUGCAAAGUCAUUUCCCAAACUCUGUCAUCCGUUGUAUGGUGAAAUGCUGACAGACAAAGCUACUCUCCCCAAUACUGUCUCAGUCUUCGGGAAGCAUCUGCUCAGCCCCACGCCGCCUGUUUCCCGUGCAGAGCAUCCCGUUACGGUAAGGCUGGACGAGGGCAGCCCUUGUUCAGCGGACCUUUGUCAGCAGGCAGAGCCAAGCACUAUGCACAACAGUCUGGCUCUUCUUGCACGGGAAGUUGCUUACUUGUUAACGAAUCGACUGUUCUGCUGGCACACUGCAGACCAUGAGAAGAAUGAACCCCUUCACAUUGGUCACCAGAAUACAGAGACCUUACAAAGAAUUCAUGGACCUUCCCAAAGGAUUACGGUAAAAUACCAUACUCUACAUAUUCAUUCACGUAGUGAGAUGUUUGUGUUCUGAAAACUCAUGUGAAUUACAGGAGAGUAAACUUAAGAAGCAAAUUAAAUUUAGCUGGAUCCGCAGGGCCUUCAUUAACAAUGGCAGUAAUAUGCCACUGCUUUUAGUUUCAGAUUUUCCUUUUCUUCUACAUCACACAUCUACACAAUGAAAUGUGUUUUGAUUUCAAAAUGGAUUAAAAAUGCAAACAAGCGAUUUACCUCUUUCUCCUUAUCUACAUUUUACUUUAACUUCCUAAAAUUAAGGAUUCUUUCAUAAGUUUAUCGUGCCGGCUGAAGGUACUCAGGUCUAUGCACGGAAAGUGUUGAUACUGACCUCUGUGGAUGGUACCCGCUCUGCAUGCCUCAUGACAAGGUCAGACCUUUAAGGAAGACGGAGCCACAGGAUUUCUGAAAGGGCCGGGUUUGUGCUUUGAAACUAGCCCGGUCUCACAUUCUCAACACAAUAACGCAACUCCCACAGAAGCGGGGAGCGCCGUCAAACGGACAACAGACAUCGAGAGCAUCUUACUCCACCAUCAUGGGACAAGGAGGUCUGCAGAGAGGAGAUAAUGGGCAACAAGCGGGCCGACACCCCCAAACUGGGGCAUCAGUGGGGACUUCUGCAAAUGCAUCACAGCAGAUGAAAAACGGGAAUACAAAAAACAUACUAAUUACCAAGCAUCUGUGUUCCGUACCCACAGCCCAUCAGCAAAUGAAACUAGAGAUCAAUGGAGUCAGACACCAACGUUAAUCACUUGAAAGAUGCAAACGGAAACCAGUAACCUUAAUGGCAGAUCAGCUAACUGUAUUUCCCAGUUUGUAGGACUAGCCUCGCACUUCCUGGAAUGCGUGUUUGAGUCUCACCCCUAGGUGUUCCUCCAGGUCCAAGAACACACAGCAUGCUGAAUUGGGUGUCUCUAAAUUAAUCAUAGUUAGCGUAUGUGACCUCUGUCCUCUGCUUACUGAGGCUCCCAAAGCGUAAGAAUUUCACGUAGUAGUUUAGCAGGUAGCACUACAAAUAUUCCAUGACGUGGGCACUGCUGGGCCGGGGCCUAUCUAACUAUUUGGCCUUUGGAAAGAGAGUGUCGACAUGCUUUCAACGUAAGUUUCAGGAAGGAAGCAAAACCAGAAUCCAAAAGAAAACCAAACAAAGGUGCCACCCUCAUGUCGUCACCAGUUCAGCUGUUUUAUGAGUUUUAUGCUUUCUCUGAGCGACAUAGAGAAUUGAGGGGAGAACCCAUUUCUGACUAUAGAAUCGUCAAGGUGAAACCCUUAUCAGCAAUGAAAAAUGAAACAAUUAUGCAUUACAUGAACAUUUUCACAUUUUCAUACAUCAGCUAAUGUCUAUCAACUAAUCUAUCCUGAAUGACAAAAUUAAAACGGUAAGAAAGGGUGUUGACAUCUCACUGACAUGAAGUCGAGUGACAAAUACAUUUGCCCACCACGCCUUAUUAUUAGGCCGCUUGACUGAGACAGUUCCGCUUUCUCACACCCAAACCCAUUAUCGUUUUUUUCUGGCUCCUAUAUUCAGAUGAAGCCGGUAUUUCCUCCUUGUGAGCUGGAUCCAUCCACCAUCGCGCCUGGUACGAGUAUUACCAUGACACCCAGGAAUUCCAUCACUCCAGACUCCACCAAGCACCAGCGUGCCUUCAGUCUUAUCUGUACACUGCAGCUUGAUCAUCAGAAACGCUCGCGGCGUAUGCACUCAAAAAUACUUUUUGCUGAUGCUCUACGUAAAGUGUACAUACGCACUCGCAGAGACACUUUACUUCUGGAUUAGAUCACCAGCUAAACCAAUGAAAUUAUAGGGACAUUAAGAAUAAAAAAAAAAAAAUCAACCCACAAUGGGUGCAGAGCAGUGUGAAUAUUAAAUGCCUGCCUCUCUCACUCAUAGAGCUAAACUUAUUGGAAAUGACAUCAUACCACAGUCUACUCCAAUUCGACACAUGGACUGGAAACUGUAAGUUCAUGACCAAGGAAAACAUGAGUGCUCCCCCCACAACUCAAAAAUACUUGGUGAACAGAUAAAUAACCUCUUCUAAGGAACUUGGAAAAUAUCCCUCGGAAUAUUCUGAGGACGUUGAUUUAUUUGUAUGUUAGCACUGGUUUUGAACUUUAGCUAUAUCUGUCUGUCGAUUUAAAUCUAUUGUGAAUAUGUACAGAACAUAGUGAAUGAGGCAGAGGUGUCACAGGCCCCUCUGGAAGGGAUCUCAUCUUUGAGGCGGAACCUGAUCUAAAUCGCUUUGCCUUGGACCUGGGACUCAGGGCGCAUAGUACAAAGGAUGAUGGAGCCAAACUACCAAAUCUGCUUAGUGUACUGAUCUAGAUACUCGACUCCAUAGAAGGAUCCAGGAAUGAGGCGUAAAUGAAAUGUGCUUGGAUGGCGUGAAAGUUACAGUAAGGAGGCACUACGUAGUCACAGUGUCGUUAACUCACUUAAAGAGGCUCAUGGGGUUACAGUAAUGAGGCACUACGUAGAGUCACAGUGUCGUUCACUCACUUAAAGAGGCUCAUGGGGUUACAGUAAUGAGGCACUACGUAGAGUCACAGUGUCGUUCACUCACUUAAAGAGGCUCAUGGGGACUCGGUGGGUAGCAACAAAGUCGGUGGUUUGAAUCCUCCCCCCGUGCAUUUUUACAAGGUCUCUGCAUAUUUGUGUAUAUAGCUUUUUACUAUAUAUCCAAUCAGGGCGCUCUGCUGUUAUGUCUCCUGUUCUCCAGGAUAAGCACUCCAUGACAUUGUAGCAGGUAAGGAGUUUUUUGGCAGAUGGAGUCACUUCAGUGUCGAGGUUUCUGUAAUGUGUUGACAUUAUCACCAACGAGGUUUGUUGGGGAAAAAACUCAGUUUUUCAUUACAGCAAACAAAUACACGGGACACAGGGAUUACUGGAGGAGGGAAUGGCAACGUUUAUCUUGCCAUGGUGUGAAUGAACAGGUAAGCAGAGUAAUAUUCAAAGCACAUCUGUGCUCUUUCAAACAGGCAGAACCACGAAACCAGUGAAACCAGGCCGCUGCACCCACCCACACAACCUCACCGUACAUCACCUUCAGCUAAAGGCGUGUAGGCAACGUCGGCUUGGGCAGCUUCUAAUUUUUCAAGCCAGCACACCAUACAGACUUAGACCACUGUAUAUGAUAUUUUGACAGUAUUUUCAAAAGCAAACGCCAUUCUGAUAUUUUGGAAGAGGAACCUGUUCAUUGAAUUUUGCGGAUUACAAUCUGCCACACUGGGGGUGGGGGACACUGUUGCCUGGCAACAACCCUGGUCAAAUAUCCAUGUCCACACUGAAGUUUCACAAUUUCCCAAAAGUGGAAGAGUUUUAGAAGAUUAACUAUAUAACUAUGGUGACCUUACCAGCAAUUAUAGCAGUCGACUGAUUACUUUACUUUACAACUAUAUCCACGUCGCUUCCAUU